This 259-nucleotide long non-coding RNA is filed under the name Prunus persica (peach). RNAcentral's name for it is "long non-coding RNA (PPER_LNC006254)". Lineage: Eukaryota; Viridiplantae; Streptophyta; Magnoliopsida; Rosales; Rosaceae. The record is from RNAcentral.
AAACGAGCUCCACAAAAUUCCGUCAAAAACUUUCCAAACCGCCCUAUUUCGUGGCGGUUUCCGGCCACCACGACGGCGGAUCGAGGCUGAGAUGGGCUGGGACUGGAAGAGGGAAGUGUGGUGGUUCUAACGGGACUGGUCUUCCUUCGAUUGGUGGCCGAAGUUGAGAGAUAUCACUUUUGGAAGUCAGCUGUUCGAGCUGCCAAACUGCAGAAAAUCUGGGUUUUUAAAAAAACUGAACUUCGAAUGAUUUACGGUC